Molecule: ribosomal RNA, 1347 nt
Filed under: uncultured bacterium
Lineage: Bacteria
Description: partial 16S ribosomal RNA
Rfam family: Bacterial small subunit ribosomal RNA
Source: RNAcentral
GACGAACGCUGGCGGCGUGCUUAACACAUGCAAGUCGAACGGAAAGGCCCUGCUUUUGUGGGGUGCUCGAGUGGCGAACGGGUGAGUAACACGUGAGUAACCUGCCCUUGACUUUGGGAUAACUUCAGGAAACUGGGGCUAAUACCGGAUAGGAGCUCCUGCUGCAUGGUGGGGGUUGGAAAGUUUCGGCGGUUGGGGAUGGACUCGCGGCUUAUCAGCUUGUUGGUGGGGUAGUGGCUUACCAAGGCUUUGACGGGUAGCCGGCCUGAGAGGGUGACCGGCCACAUUGGGACUGAGAUACGGCCCAGACUCCUACGGGAGGCAGCAGUGGGGAAUAUUGCACAAUGGGCGGAAGCCUGAUGCAGCAACGCCGCGUGCGGGAUGACGGCCUUCGGGUUGUAAACCGCUUUCGCCUGUGACGAAGCGUGAGUGACGGUAAUGGGUAAAGAAGCACCGGCUAACUACGUGCCAGCAGCCGCGGUGAUACGUAGGGUGCGAGCGUUGUCCGGAUUUAUUGGGCGUAAAGGGCUCGUAGGUGGUUGAUCGCGUCGGAAGUGUAAUCUUGGGGCUUAACCCUGAGCGUGCUUUCGAUACGGGUUGACUUGAGGAAGGUAGGGGAGAAUGGAAUUCCUGGUGGAGCGGUGGAAUGCGCAGAUAUCAGGAGGAACACCAGUGGCGAAGGCGGUUCUCUGGGGCCUUUCCUGACGCUGAGGAGCGAAAGCGUGGGGAGCGAACAGGCUUAGAUACCCUGGUAGUCCACGCUGUAAACGGUGGGUACUAGGUGUGGGGUCCAUUCCACGGGUUCCGUGCCGUAGCUAACGCUUUAAGUACCCCGCCUGGGGAGUACGGCCGCAAGGCUAAAACUCAAAGGAAUUGACGGGGCCCCGCACAAGCGGCGGAGCAUGCGGAUUAAUUCGAUGCAACGCGUAGAACCUUACCUGGGUUUGACAUGGAUCGGGAGUGCUCAGAGAUGGGUGUGCCUCUUUUGGGGUCGGUUCACAGGUGGUGCAUGCCUGUCGUCAGCUCGUGUCGUGAGAUGUUGGGUUAAGUCCCGCAACGAGCGCAACCCUUGUUCACUGUUGCCAGCACGUUAUGGUGGGGACUCAGUGGAGACCGCCGGGGUCAACUCGGAGGAAGGUGGGGAUGGCGUCAAGUCAUCAUGCCCCUUAUGUCCAGGGCUUCACGCAUGCCACAAUGGCUGGUACAGAGAGUGGCGAGCCUGUGAGGGUGAGCGAAUCUCGGAAAGCCGGUCUCAGUUCGGAUUGGGGUCUGCAACUCGACCUCAUGAAGUCGGAGUCGUUAGUAAUCGCAGAUCAGCAACGCUGCGGUGAAUACGUUCCCGGGGCU